AGCAGCGUGGCUCAAUGGAAGGAGCACGGGCUUGGGAGUCAGAGGAUGAGGCUUCCAAUACCUCCUCUGCCA
Molecule: transfer RNA, 72 nt
Filed under: Ornithorhynchus anatinus (platypus)
Lineage: Eukaryota; Metazoa; Chordata; Mammalia; Monotremata; Ornithorhynchidae
Rfam family: tRNA
About the family: Transfer RNA (tRNA) molecules are approximately 80 nucleotides in length. Their secondary structure includes four short double-helical elements and three loops (D, anti-codon, and T loops).
Source: Rfam by way of RNAcentral